UACGGAGGGUGCGAGCGUUAAUCGGAAUUACUGGGCGUAAAGGGCGCGUAGGCGGCUGAUCAAGUCAGGUGUGAAAGCCCACGGCUUAACCGUGUGAAGUGCAUCUGAAACUGGUCGGCUUGAGUAUCGGAGAGGAAAGUGGAAUUCCCGGUGUAGAGGUGAAAUUCGUAGAUAUCGGGAGGAAUACCGGUGGCGAAGGCGACUUUCUGGACGAAUACUGACGCUGAGGCGCGAAAGCGUGGGGAGCAAACAGG
Molecule: ribosomal RNA, 254 nt
Filed under: uncultured bacterium
Lineage: Bacteria
Also listed under: 1 other name
Description: partial 16S ribosomal RNA
Rfam family: Bacterial small subunit ribosomal RNA
Source: RNAcentral